This 1663-nucleotide ribosomal RNA is filed under the name Niebla testudinaria. RNAcentral describes it as "partial large subunit ribosomal RNA". It matches the Rfam family "Eukaryotic large subunit ribosomal RNA", at positions 161 to 1426 of the family's 3401-position model. The record is from RNAcentral. Lineage: Eukaryota; Fungi; Ascomycota; Lecanoromycetes; Lecanorales; Ramalinaceae.
GCUUCGGGCGCGGCACCGGUCUAAGUCCCUUGGAACAGGGCGUCAUAGAGGGUGAGGAUCCCGUAUGUGACCGGCGACCAAGUCCAUGUGAAGCCCCUUCGACGAGUCGAGUUGUUUGGGAAUGCAGCUCAAAAUGGGUGGUAAAUUUCAUCUAAAGCUAAAUACCGGCCAGAGACCGAUAGCGCACAAGUAGAGUGAUCGAAAGAUGAAAAGCACUUUGGAAAGAGAGUCAAAAAGUACGUGAAAUUGUUGAAAGGGAAGCGCUUGUAACCAGACCUGCCGUCGGGUGCUCAGCGGGCACUUGUGCCCGCCUAUUCACCCGCGAUCAGGCCAGCAUCGGUUUGGGCGGCCGGAUAAAGACUCGAGGAAUGUAGCUUCGCUUCGGGGAAGUGUUAUAGCCUCGGGUGCAAUACGGCCAGCCGGGACCGAGGACCGCGCUUCGGCUAGGAUGCUGGCGUAAUGGUUGCAAGCGACCCGUCUUGAAACACGGACCAAGGAGUCUAACAUCUAUGCGAGUGUUUGGGUGUCAAACCCAUGCGCGGAAUGAAAGUGAACGGAGGUGGGAACCCUCAAGGGCGCACCAUCGACCGAUCCGGAAGUUUACGGAUGGAUUUGAGUAUGAGCAUAGCUGUUGGGACCCGAAAGAUGGUGAACUAUGCCUGAAUAGGGUGAAGCCAGAGGAAACUCUGGUGGAGGCUCGCAGCGGUUCUGACGUGCAAAUCGAUCGUCAAAUUUGGGUAUAGGGGCGAAGUAAGCAUCCCCGGCUCCUUAUUUUCUGGUGUAACAAUUGCUAACAUAUCAACCAGAGACUAAUCGAACCAUCAAUUCGCUACUAGGUGGUUAAACGGAAGGGGUUGAUUAUACCCCCCAUUUUUAGCCCUCCGGGGUAACAAUGCUAAUUGCAUGGAUUCCUCCCGGGAGGGAGCUUAACAUGCAGCAGCCUAUAAGACGAUGUUCCGAUGUCGUUGGCUGUCCACAGACCAAAUAGCGUUGGCCAGGGGUAUAUCCCUGGUUUUGACAUGGUCGAGUCUUGCCUGCAAUAGGGUUUGGCCCUUAAAUCGUUCCUGUAUGGUUCUCUCACUGUUUCCUGUGGGACCCUCUACAGGGCUUGGGGGCCUUAAGUACAGACGCUAGUAGCUGGUUCCUGCCGAAGUUUCGUAAGUUCUUCCGUAGGAGCGCCCCCCUUAAUAUAAGCCUCUACUAACAAUUUCAAUAGCCUCAGGAUAGCAGUAACGUUUUCAGUUUUAUGAGGUAAAGCGAAUGAUUAGAAACCUUGGGGAUGAAACAUCCUUAAUUUAUUCUCAAACUUUAAAUAUGUAAGAAGUCCUUGUUACUUAGUUGAACGUGGACAUUUGAAUGCACCGUUACUAGUGGGCCAUUUUUGGUAAGCAGAACAGGCGAUGCGGGAUGAACCGAACGUGGGGUUAAGGUGCCGGAAUGUACGCUCAUCAGACACCAGGGGGGAGACUUGUGGUGUCGGGCUGGAGGGGGGGGGAGAGGCCCCUCCAGCGUUAGUCUGCUCAGGGCGAGGUCUUUGACCUGUUAGGGGUCGGUGGUCGCUCCGCGAUGGCCUACCCUCCGCUGUCCCCUCCUGCGGGGGCAGCUCACAGAUCAAGCAAAGGCCGGCGGCAGGAUGCCGUUGGAGAUAUGAUCGGCCCCUGGA